CGGGUGAGUAAUGUAUGGGGAUCUGCCUGAUGGCGGGGGAUAACUACUGGAAACGGUAGCUAAUACCGCAUAAUGUCUGCGGACCAAAGCGGGGGACCUCCGGGCCUCGCGCCAUCAGAUGAACCAUAUGGGAUUAGCUAGUAGGUAAGGUAACGGCUUACCUAGGCGACGAUCCCUAGCUGGUCUGAGAGGAUGAUCAGCCACACUGGGACUGAGACACGGCCCAG
Molecule: ribosomal RNA, 227 nt
Filed under: uncultured bacterium
Lineage: Bacteria
Description: partial 16S ribosomal RNA
Rfam family: Bacterial small subunit ribosomal RNA
Source: RNAcentral